Molecule: non-coding RNA, 73 nt
Organism: Ailuropoda melanoleuca (giant panda)
Lineage: Eukaryota; Metazoa; Chordata; Mammalia; Carnivora; Ursidae
Source: Rfam
GCCUGGCUGGCUCAGUUGGUAGAGCGUCCAACUCUUGAUCUCAGUGUAGUGAGUUCAAGCCCCACGUUGGGUA